AUACAGAGGGUGCAAGCGUUAUUCGGAAUCACUGGGCGUAAAGGACGCGUAGGCGGGUUGGCAAGUCAGAUGUGAAAUCCUACAGCUUAACUGUAGAACUGCAUUUGAAACUGCUAAGCUAGAGUAUGGGAGGGGGAGAUGGAAUUAGUGGUGUAGGGGUAAAAUCCGUAGAUAUCACUAGGAAUACCGAAAGCGAAGGCGAUCUCCUGGAACAUAACUGACGCUAAGGCGUGAAAGCGUGGGGAGCAAACAGGAUUAGAAACCCUAGUAGUCC
RNAcentral lists this ribosomal RNA (274 nucleotides) under uncultured bacterium. Its description in RNAcentral is "partial 16S ribosomal RNA". It matches the Rfam family "Bacterial small subunit ribosomal RNA", at positions 523 to 796 of the family's 1533-position model. The record is from RNAcentral.